Molecule: non-coding RNA, 966 nt
Organism: Oryzias latipes (Japanese medaka)
Lineage: Eukaryota; Metazoa; Chordata; Actinopteri; Beloniformes; Adrianichthyidae
Source: RefSeq, a predicted model, not a curated record
AUUUUAAAAGCGAGCUUAUCUGGAGGUGGAACCAAAGACAUGCGUCAUGUGAUUCCGCUCGGACCUUUAAUUGUGCAGUACGGUUAGGAAAAUGUGUAAACAAGAUGUCUGAAGAACAUUUUACACUGGACGGCCUCUGGUCUUGUUUCCCCUCAAAUAAUCGGCGUUGUGACGCUUCGUAAUUGUAAAACUUUUUUGGAAUGUACAUAUUUGUAACAAAGAUGGCGGCAGAGACUCAUAGCGACAGUCACAGUGACGACGGCAUGAUGGACGAGUUCUUCAUGGACAAAUUCAAGACGCAGAGAAACGCCUUCAGUCUGAGUAAAAAUUUAGCAUAUCAGCAAUUGAAACUUGGUCUUUGACAUUAAAACUGACGCCGUUUCUGGUGAUGAGGCUAACUUCGUAAUUUUUAAUGUUUAUUUAAUUUAUCCUCUCAAAGGAUAACAUAUGCAUGAUGUUAAAAUGUUUAUUUUGUGACAUGCAGGGAACAUGCGCUUUGCACUGAAUGACGCUGCAGCUGCAAAAAAAAUCAAGCCAGGCCACCUUAAAGCCUUGAUCAGAUGUGCUCAGUGCUGCAUUGAGCUGCACAACUUUUCAGAGGCUCUCCAGUGGUGUGACGAGGGGCUAAAGGAACAUACCAACGAUGGGAAGCUCAGAGAGCUGAGAGUCUAAAAAGCCUCACCUUAUAGGUUCAGAAAGUGAGGAUGACAAGGAUCAAUCUUCAGCAGCCAUGGAGCAGCUGAGGUUGGACGGCCUCAGUUCUCAGGAAGUCACUGGGGCUCAGGUCUUCCAGGAUGAGAAGUGCUUGUUGCACUGGCCUGUUCUUUUCCUCUACCCUGAGCAUCAGCAGAGCGAUUUCAUCUCUGCUUUCUGUGAGAAUGACUGGUAAAGUAUCUUUUUUCAAAGGUUUUGGCUUCCUUUUUUAGGUGUCAUCCUGCUUAAUAACUAUUAAAAUCACUAUGUUGG